Long non-coding RNA from Mastomys coucha (southern multimammate mouse), 224 nucleotides. RefSeq lists it as uncharacterized. The record is from RefSeq and is a predicted model, not a curated record. The transcript has 2 exons. NCBI's taxonomy places the organism in Eukaryota, Metazoa, Chordata, Mammalia, Rodentia, Muridae.
GGACUGACUGCACCCUCAACACGCUAACCUGUACUACCCUCAGGGGUAUGGAGUCCCUGGCACCUCCCUGACGACAUCACUGAAGUAUGGAUGGAUUAUCACCUCUCAGACAUGAGCUGGAUGCCCGCCACCAUGAUGGAUGCCCAGGCUGCAGUGCAAAAGCAAGCCUUUCCUUCCCUCCCUUAUUUCCGUCCAGCAUUUUGUCACAGCAAUUAAAAAAUAAG